Acipenser ruthenus (sterlet) is the source of this 82-nucleotide non-coding RNA. The record is from the annotation of a RefSeq genome assembly. Lineage: Eukaryota; Metazoa; Chordata; Actinopteri; Acipenseriformes; Acipenseridae.
GUAGUCGUGGCCGAGGGGUUAAGGCGAUGGACUCAAAAUCGACUGGGUUUUCCCCAUGCAAGUUCGAAUCCUGCCGACUACG